GACGAACGCUGGCGGCGUGCCUAAUACAUGCAAGUAGAACGCUGAAGGAGGAGCUUGCUUCUCUGGAUGAGUUGCGAACGGGUGAGUAACGCGUAGGUAACCUGCCUGGUAGCGGGGGAUAACUAUUGGAAACGACAGCUAAUACCGCAUAAGAGUAGAUGUUGCAUGACAUUUGCUUAAAAGGUGCAAUUGCAUCACUACCAGAUGGACCUGCGUUGUAUUAGCUAGUUGGUGGGGUAACGGCUCACCAAGGCGACGAUACAUAGCCGACCUGAGAGGGUGAUCGGCCACACUGGGACUGAGACACGGCCCAGACUCCUACGGGAGGCAGCAGUAGGGAAUCUUCGGCAAUGGACGGAAGUCUGACCGAGCAACGCCGCGUGAGUGAAGAAGGUUUUCGGAUCGUAAAGCUCUGUUGUAAGAGAAGAACGAGUGUGAGAGUGGAAAGUUCACACUGUGACGGUAUCUUACCAGAAAGGGACGGCUAACUACGUGCCAGCAGCCGCGGUAAUACGUAGGUCCCGAGCGUUGUCCGGAUUUAUUGGGCGUAAAGCGAGCGCAGGCGGUUAGAUAAGUCUGAAGUUAAAGGCUGUGGCUUAACCAUAGUACGCUUUGGAAACUGUUUAACUUGAGUGCAAGAGGGGAGAGUGGAAUUCCAUGUGUAGCGGUGAAAUGCGUAGAUAUAUGGAGGAACACCGGUGGCGAAAGCGGCUCUCUGGCUUGUAACUGACGCUGAGGCUCGAAAGCGUGGGGAGCAAACAGG
Molecule: ribosomal RNA, 763 nt
Filed under: uncultured Streptococcus sp.
Lineage: Bacteria; Bacillati; Bacillota; Bacilli; Lactobacillales; Streptococcaceae
Description: bacterial SSU rRNA
Rfam family: Bacterial small subunit ribosomal RNA
Source: RNAcentral